RNAcentral lists this ribosomal RNA (467 nucleotides) under uncultured bacterium. RNAcentral's name for it is "partial 16S ribosomal RNA". It matches the Rfam family "Bacterial small subunit ribosomal RNA", at positions 28 to 506 of the family's 1533-position model. The record is from RNAcentral.
GACGAACGCUGGCGGCGUGCUUAACACAUGCAAGUCGAACGGAAAGGCCCUGCUUUUGUGGGGUGCUCGAGUGGCGAACGGGUGAGUAACACGUGAGUAACCUGCCCUUGACUUUGGGAUAACUUCAGGAAACUGGGGCUAAUACCGGAUAGGAGCUCCUGCUGCAUGGUGGGGGUUGGAAAGUUUCGGCGGUUGGGGAUGGACUCGCGGCUUAUCAGCUUGUUGGUGGGGUAGUGGCUUACCAAGGCUUUGACGGGUAGCCGGCCUGAGAGGGUGACCGGCAACAUUGGGACGGAGAUACGGCCCAGACUCCUACGGGAGGCAGCAGUGGGGAAUAUUGCACAAUGGGCGGAAGCCUGAUGCAGCAACGCCGCGUGCGGGAUGACGGCCUUCGGGUUGUAAACCGCUUUCGCCUGUGACGAAGUGUGAGUGACGGUAAUGGGGAAAGAAGCACCGGCUAACUACGU